This 264-nucleotide unclassified non-coding RNA is filed under the name Hevea brasiliensis (rubber tree). Lineage: Eukaryota; Viridiplantae; Streptophyta; Magnoliopsida; Malpighiales; Euphorbiaceae. The record is from RNAcentral.
UAAAGGCAACAAAUACAUAAAAACUUGCAACUAAAACUACUCAUUAGUCAUCACCAAGGUUAUCAAAAUAAUCUUCAUUUUCAAUAGCAACUAUUACAAAUUUUUCCUCCCUUUUAUCAUCAUCAGCUCGUGAAGAGGAUGCGCUUCUCAUUGAACAAGAUGCUCAAAAUGAUGGAGUUUCAACAUGUGUUGAUCUUGCAACCAAUCUCGAUUCAGAAACUCCAAUCGCCCUACCAACAUCACCUCAAGUCAGCACAUCAUCCA